CGGCAUCCCACCGCCCUACGACAAGAAAAAGCGGAUGGUGGUUCCUGCUGCCCUCAAGGUCGUGCGUCUGAAGCCUACAAGAAAGGUGAGUCCCAGCUUAUGCUGCACCAUCUACUUGGGAGAUUUCAGGCCUGCUGAGGGACCUGGGGACCCGGAGCCUGGCAGAUGAUGUCCUUAUCUCACGAUGGUCUGCGGAUGUCCCUGCGGGAAUGGCGACAAUGCCAAUGGCUUAGCUGAUGCCAGGAGGCUUGGGUGGGUGCUUUUCUAACAGGCCUUCAGAGAACAGUUGCAUUAUGAUAUGCCCAGCUGUCAGUCACCUCCCAGCUCUCACCAGCUCCGGCUCUUCAGGGUGUGGGGGCUUAGAUAUCCUUACAACUUCAUUUGUUCACCGCCCCCGCAGUUUGCCUAUCUGGGGCGCCUGGCUCACGAGGUUGGCUGGAAGUACCAGGCAGUGACAGCCACCCUGGAGGAGAAGAGGAAAGAGAAAGCCAAGAUCCACUACCGGAAGAAGAAACAGCUCAUGAGGCUACGGAAACAGGCCGAGAAGAACGUGGAGAAGAAAAUUGACAAAUACACAGAGGUCCUCAAGACCCACGGACUCCUGGUCUG
RNAcentral lists this small RNA (609 nucleotides) under Pan troglodytes (chimpanzee). RNAcentral describes it as "retained intron". The stretch from base 161 to 246 matches the Rfam family "Small nucleolar RNA SNORD35". Lineage: Eukaryota; Metazoa; Chordata; Mammalia; Primates; Hominidae. The record is from RNAcentral.